GAUGGGAAGUUCAUUUUAUGUUAAUCAAAUUCUGUUAUUGUGUCAGCAUUUAUUAAUCCGGAAAACUAUGAUCUUGUCCUUAAUAAAACCUGGCCAAAUUUUAGCUACUUCAAGUUCUACAGAUAUCGUUAUUCACAGAACUCCCAAAAUGGAAUAGCAAGACCGCUUAGGAUUGUUUGGAUCUACUCCUCUGUAAAAUUUCUUAUGCUGAAUAUAUGCACAUCUUCUCCAAAGUGGUGGGGAUGCAGAAUUGCCAUUUUUUUGAAACUUUUAUACUUGUGGCUACUUCUUAUGCUUGAUUUUUUUUUUUUCCAUCUCUUCUAGAUGUCUUGCUCUGUACCUUUCCACCUCCAAGUUCUUAAUGAAGCUAAGAUGACAAAAACAGGAACCAAGUACACUGAUUCUCUACAGCGUCCAUAAAUAAUCCAAAUGGCAGACACAUCUGUUUUAUUGGAUUGAAUAUCUAACAGAAAACAUUAUCACUUGAAUUUUUAGACGGAGAUGCUAGUAGGAACUCCCUUCCCUGUGCAACCCCCGCAUGAACUAUAAAUUAAUGCAGUACCUUUUGAUCAAGUCAGCCGGCAAAGCUUCUUUAUCAAAACGCCAAAGCUUGUCAGAAACAGCAGAGCUCAGCUCCAUGGAGUAUUUGCCAGGAACAAAAGUGCUAUCUAUGAUUCCACCUCCGUUGAUGAGCUGUCCUCGAGCAAAAGCAUUGAUUUCCAUUGUGAAUCGGAAAUGGGGAUGUAAAAGUCUAUAGAUAGGGUGCAUUGCACUAAGUUGUCUAGGAGCUGCAAUUAUGUAUGGCUCUACACAGCAGUGUGUCCUCAGCCUGAAAACAAAAAAAAGAAAAGUAGAACUCAUAAUCGUGAGAGUUAGGCUUUCGGGUUGGAUCUAGUGUUUCUUAAAUGACUUCAAUGGUCAUAAGAUCCUGUGGAAUAUUUACCAGUGAGAGAUAAGUUGGUGGAUGCCAGAGUCAUGAGCUAAAACAUGUGCUUUAGCCAACCUCCACAGCCAACAAACUGUGGCAUCAUCAUAUCUUGGUGUAAACACUUGCUUCCAUUGUGGCUUGUCGCCGAUCUGUGGGCGAGUGAGUUCAAUUGCUACAGGCUUCAAUGUACUUCCAUUAACGAGGAAGAAGAGAGUCCUGGAACCAUAUAACGUGGUGCCUUCAAGCUUCCUUACUUUGGCCACAUAUGGCAAUUGCAAAUCGUGUUAAUCCAACAUAAAUAGCCUCUUCUGCUUUAAAGCCUACAUAUUAUAAACCCAAACUUCAAGGAGUUGUUUUGGUGCAAAACAAGAAAUUAUUUCUUGGAUUUACCUCUUGAACAGUCAUGAAGCAUCCAAUUUCCAUUUCGACUAUUUGUUUUGUAACACCCCAAAAUUUUUAAUUUUAUGAGCAUUUUUAGUAUUUUAAUUUUAUUAAAUUUUUGGAAUUUUUUUGAGAUUUUUCGGA
This 1453-nucleotide unclassified non-coding RNA is filed under the name Hevea brasiliensis (rubber tree). Lineage: Eukaryota; Viridiplantae; Streptophyta; Magnoliopsida; Malpighiales; Euphorbiaceae. The record is from RNAcentral.